AAUAUUGCGCAAUGGGGGAAGCCCUGACGCAGCAACGCCGCGUGGAGGAUGAAGGUUUUCGGAUUGUAAACUCCUUAACUGGGGGAAGAGGAAGGACGGUACCCCAGGACGAAGACACGGCUAACUAGGUGCCAGCAGCCGCGGUAAUACCUAGGUGUCAAGCAUUAUCCGGAAUUACUGGGCGUAAAGGGUGCGCAGGCGGCGAUACAAGUCUGGCGUGAAAGCUCCUGGCUUAACUGGGAGAGGACGUCGGAAACUGUAUGGCUAGAGUGAAUGAGAGGGGGGCGGAAAUCCCGGUGUAGUGGUGGAAUGCGUAGAUAUCGGGAAGAACACCAGAGGCGAAGGCGGCCUCCUGGCAUUUUACUGACGCUGAGGCACGAAAGCGUGGGUAGCGAACGGGAUUAGAUACCCCGGUAGUCCACGCUGUA
RNAcentral lists this ribosomal RNA (428 nucleotides) under uncultured marine bacterium. RNAcentral describes it as "bacterial SSU rRNA". It matches the Rfam family "Bacterial small subunit ribosomal RNA", at positions 360 to 804 of the family's 1533-position model. The record is from RNAcentral.